AGAAAUAGGACUGCCUGCUAUCAGGUUAAUCCCAGGGACAUCAUUGAAAAAGUGGCUCCGUUGACAUCAAUGAUUAGUUUUCUGGUUGGUAAUUCUUGGUCACAGACAGUGUGAACCUCUUUCUAGUUGGCAGAACAUAAUUAGGAAAGAACGUUUUAUGUUAUUUUGUAUUGCUCUCCCUGACACCUUUCCCGCAUGCUUUAACUUCUUUGCUCUCUCUCUCUCUCUUUUUUUUUUUGUCUUUUUGGCUUUUCUAGGGCCACUCCUCCAGCAUAUGGAGGUUCCCAGGUUCACAGCCACUGCAACGCCAGAUCCAAGCCGCAUCUGCGGCCUACACCACAGCUCACAGCAACGCCAGAUCCUUAACCCGCUGAUCGAGGCUGGGGAUCAAACUGUAACCUCAUGGUUCCUAGUUGGAUUCAUUAACCACUGAGCCAUGAUGGGAACUCCUAACUUCUUUGCUGUCUAAACAAUUAUUUUAAACUCUUGCUGGCUCAGGAGCUACUAGAAUGAGGAUUGGCUAAUUUUGCCCAUUAUAAGGAGGAAUUUUUUAGAAUUUGUCUCCCUCUUGGCAUCAGGUACAGGUCUAGAAUCUCUGCCUCAUAGUUCUCUCCUUGUGCUGUAUUUCUGGAACACUGUGCUGGUACCAGGUGGGAGGGGGCCAAACAAGAUCGAAAGGGGCAGUUUUAUUUGUUUAGUGCCUAUGCUGGGCCAGACCUUUGCUUGGUAGUUUACAUUCACAGUCUCAUUUGAUCCUUGCGAUAAUAUUGUGGGCAGAUAUUAUUUUCUUCUUUUUAUAAAUGAGGAAACGAUCUCAGCGUGGAUAAACUCGCGCAAGCUCACACAGCCAGUAAGUGAUAGCUCUGUGAUUUAAAUCAAUCCUGCCUGGUUCCAAAGCCUGUGAUCUUUCUACGAAUACUUCCCAAAGUUCCUGUCCUCUGUCUUUUGUUUGUCCAUUCAUACUUUCACCCACUCCUUCAGGCCCUCAGUCACUCAUUCAUCCAGCAAACACUUAUGAAUUGUCUGCUCUGUGUCAGGCACUGUGCUGGGCCCUGAAGACACAAAGACAAAAAAGAUCUGAUCUCCCCUCUUACAUCCCAGAGGAGAAUACAGACAGGCCAAAGUGAUACAAGGUGGACAUGUGUGAUUGCAGAGCUGAGUGUGUGUGUGUGUGUGUGUGUGUACAGGCUAUUUGAAGACCUCUGUACUUUUUAUCCCAUGAGUAACAUUAACAUUUACCUGGUCAAAGAGGUUCACAUUCCCUUUCUCCUUCUCUGCCUUGUCUCUUUAAAUUCAGUCUCUACACUGCAGCUGGAGUGAUUUUUCCAGAUGCGCACCUGUUUGCAUCACUCUCCUGCUUAAAACCCCUGGAUGGCUCUUGAUGACCCCAGGAUCAAGUCCAGCCUUCUUAGCAAGGCUUACCAGCCUCUUCUUGAUCUUCCCUGCAUCUCCUUCCACCUCAAAGUGCUUGAUUCGACAAUCAGGGAUUUGUGUGAGGCUCUUAGGAGACAGUCCAGACUUCCCGGUCCUGCAUCUUCCUUCGCCCCCAAGUUUUUGCUCCAGCUCUGCUAAACUUCUUACAGACUUAAGAAAUCUCAGAACGUGCUGUGCAUCUCUGAGCUCUGGCCUUUUGCCCCAGAUGGUCUCCUUGCCUGGAACCUCCCCACCUCAACUCCUCCAUGCCCUUCUUGCCCUUCUUAUCUUCCUUCACCAUCACUUCAUAUGAGAAGCAUUCCCUGACCCCAGAACUAGGUCAGGGGUCCCUGUUGUGUGUUCCCAUCCCUACGUGCAUGACCCAGUUAGGGCAUUUAUCACAUAGUUUCACAACCUCCCAUAGACACAUAUGUCCCCUCUAUUGGCCUAUAAGUGCCAGGAGCUUGAUCUUGCUCUCUGCUGAGUCCUCAGCAGCUGGCACCUUGACUGGCACAUAGUAGGAACUUAAUAAACGUUGUUGAAAUGAGUGGAUCGUAAGUCUAUAUUGCUAAUAUGAAGAAAACAGAAAUCGUUUUAUAUAGGCAUGCAUUAAAGAAUGCUUAGCUUUUUUCUUAUAUUUUUUUCAAUGUCCGAUAGUUAGUAUUAUGGGUCAACUUGACUGGAUUAUGAUAUGCCCAGAUCUGGGUGUAUCUGUGAGGAUGUUUCUGGGUUUUUUUGUUGUUGCUGUUUUGGGUUUUUAUUUUUGUUUUUGGCCACCCCGCAGCAUACGGGAGUUCCCAGGCCAGGGAUCAGAUCCACAGGGCAGCUGUGAACUAAGCCACAGCUGUAGCAACGCCAGAUCCCUAACCCACUGUGCCAGGCCGGGGGUCGAACUCACAUCCCAAGACGCUGCCAAUCCUGAUGCACUUUAGCAGGAGCUCCUGUGAGGAUGUUUCUGGAAGAGAUGAGCAUUUGAGUUGGUGGACUGAGUAAAGCUGCCCCGGUGUGGGGGUGGGGCGGGGAGCAGAGCCUCACGCAUCUGCUGAGGGCCUAAUGGACAGAAAGGGGGAGGAAGGGAGCAUGCGCUCUCUGCCUGGCUGAUUGAGCUGGGACAUCGAUCUUCUCCUGCCCUUGGUGCUCUUGAAUCUCAGGCUUCAGACUCACACUGGAACCUACAAGAUCAACUCUAUGGCUCUCAGGCCCUGCAGGUGGGUUAUCCAGCUUGCAGAUGGUGGGAGGUCAUGGGACUUGAUGACCUCCAUGGUCAUGUGAGCCAGGUCUUUAUAUUUUGUUUUAGUGUACACACACACACACAUAAUAUAGAAACAAAUACAUUUAUUUAAAUAUAUUUAAAUGAAUAAUAAAUUAUAGAAAUAAUAUAUGUAUAUUUACAUAUAUUUAAGUAAAUACAAAUUGUAUCUACCCCAUUGGUUCUGUUUCUCCGAAGAACCCUGACUAAUACACAUGGCUAAAGGAGUUCCCUGGUGGUCUCGAGAUUAGAAUUUGGCCUUUUCACCACUGCAGCCCAGGUUCAUUUCCCGGUCUGGGAACUGAGAUCCUACAUCAAGCCACUGCAGGCUGCGGCCAGUACAAACAACCAGCCAAAAGACAAAACCAAAAAAACAAACAAAAACAAAACCCACAUGGCUAAGUUGAUGGAGCUACACCUGAUAUGUAAAUACAGAUCUGAAUACAACUUUAAAAUUGUGAGAAGAGAGAUGGUAGUUCAGAAUUUAUUGAGAUGAGAAGGCUGGUAUCUUUUGUUCUAUAAUAGAGCACCUUGUGAUUAACAGGUAGGAAACAGCACACUCACUCCAGUGAGACAAUUGAAACAUUUCUAAUAAAAAAGCAUGUCCAGCAGAGAGAGUGACUGUGGAGCAGAUGGAAGGCUCACCCUAAAGUUUGACAGAGGAGCAUAGGGGUGGCACCUGCUGCAUUAAAUCAAUGGCAGGGACAAAUUGGGAGGGCUCCAGGGGACAUGGCACAGCCCCUAGGAGCUUAGUAGGUUUGCUUGAUUGGGGUUGAAGCUUCACACGGGAGAAGGAGAGGUUGGUAAAGACCUUGGUGAAGGACGGGCUGCCAGUUGAGUCGUUUGCCAUGAAAAACCUGGGUAUCUGGAAGCAUAGCGGAAACCCGAACAUCAGACCCUGAAAGCAGUAUUGCCAUUUGUGCAUUUCCUUUAUUGCUUUCUCUCUCUGGACAGUAUGGUAGAUUCCAUUUUUUGUUUCUAAAUCAGCUUUAAUGAAUGAAAAUCUGCUGUGGAUUGAGAGAUGCCAGCUUUAAGAGAGUAGAGGAAAAAAGAGUGGUGACACCUGCAGGGAGCAAGGUGUAACAUCUGGGGUCUGGCUUGCUUGUCUCAUACUAUCCCAGAGUUCAGGAUCCAGCAGUUCAAAAAGAGAGAGAAGAAGAAAAAAAAAAAAAACCCAAACAAAAAACCCCCUUGUCUUUUGAGCCCCUGUGGCUGUUCACAGCCACCCUGCCAUCAAUUCCCCGAGUGUGUCUUCUCCAAACAGCCACAUUUUCCCACUGACAAAACAUUUAAUUCUUAGUGACAUUUCCCCACCAUUAUAAAUAGCAGGGAGUUUUUAAUCAUUUUUUUAAGUGCCAAAGCUUUUUUUUUUUUUUUUUUUUGCCCGGCGGGGCUAUAGCCAUUUGAACAGAGCCAUUUAGAUCCUAAAACAAAUCGACUGGCAAGUAUUACACUUGGCUCUUCGAAGAGAACUGCUGAUUUUAGCACAUGAGGGAGUUUCACAAGGGUUUAUUUACAUCUUCAUAUUUUCCCCCUGUCAGGACUUUCCACCGCACCAAAGUGUUUGUGGAGCUGUCCGAGGUGGCUCCAGUGAUCUCUAAGGCUGUCACACAUUUUGAAAAACUGUAUCAAAAGGAAAUUAGUUUCAGGUCACUGUAGUUACAGAAAAUUCCCCACCCCUGUCAAAGAGUGUUACAGAGUCACCUAGCUAGGACCUGGUGGGGCACCUGCCGGGAGGUUGUCAUUCCAGACCUGGGACACAGGCAUGUCCUCGGGACCACAACUGUCACUGUCCGGAGGGAUACACCCUGCCUGAGAGCUUACUUUCUUCUGCUCUUCUGCCCCUGGAUCCCUUCCGUUGCUCCUUUUUUUAUGUACUGGUGAGUGAUAUGGGUUAAUCAAACUUGGGAGAAAACAUCAUGUAUGCAGUGAGAAGAUUAAAUUUUGUGAGUGUUGAUUAGCAUUCUCAGCACUGCUUUAAAAAUAUAUACUGUAAUGAACUCUUCUCGGCUAAAAUAUGGCGUUACAUAAUCAUAAUUCUGGUUUCUGUGCCAUCGUCAUUUCUGUGAAUAUACUUUAUUGCUCCCUGGUCCUGGGUGGAAUGAAGGUACCGAGCUUAUUUUCUUUUUAAAACAUUGUAGCAGGGGAGUUCCCGUCGUGGCGCAGUGGUUAACGAAUCCGACUAGGAACCAUGAGGUUGUGGGUUCGGUCCCUGCCCUUGCUCAGUGGGUUAACGAUCCGGCGUUGCCGUGAGCUGUGGUGUAGGUUGCAGACGCGGCUCGGAUCCCGAGUUGCUGUGGCUCUGGCGUAGGCCAGUGGCUACAGCUCCGAUUCGACCCCUAGCCUGGGAACCUCCAUAUGCCAUGGGAGCAGCCCAAAAAAAAGCAAAAAAAAAAAAAAAAAAAAAAAAA
Molecule: long non-coding RNA, 5073 nt
Filed under: Sus scrofa (pig)
Lineage: Eukaryota; Metazoa; Chordata; Mammalia; Artiodactyla; Suidae
Description: lncRNA (ENSSSCG00025009080.1)
Source: RNAcentral